GACGAACGCUGGCGGCGUGCUUAACACAUGCAAGUCGAACGGAAAGGCCCUGCUUUUGUUGGGUGCUCGAGUGGCGAACGGGUGAGUAACACGUGAGUAACCUGCCCUUGACUUUGGGAUAACUUCAGGAAACUGGGGCUAAUACCGGAUAGGAGCUCCUGCUGCAUGGUGGGGGUUGGAAAGUUUCGGCGGUUGGGGAUGGACUCGCGGCUUAUCAGCUUGUUGGUGGGGUAGUGGCUUACCAAGGCUUUGACGGGUAGCCGGCCUGAGAGGGUGACCGGACACAUUGGGACUGAGAUACGGCCCAGACUCCUACGGGAGGCAGCAGUGGGGAAUAUUGCACAAUGGGCGGAAGCCUGAUGCAGCAACGCCGCGUGCGGGAUGACGGCCUUCGGGUUGUAAACCGCUUUCGCCUGUGACGAAGCGUGAGUGACGGUAAUGGGUAAAGAAGCACCAGCUAACUACGUG
This 468-nucleotide ribosomal RNA is filed under the name uncultured bacterium. RNAcentral describes it as "partial 16S ribosomal RNA". It matches the Rfam family "Bacterial small subunit ribosomal RNA", at positions 28 to 507 of the family's 1533-position model. The record is from RNAcentral.